ACCCCCUGGCAAUGGGCAAGGAGACACCUGAUUGGUGGUGUUGCUCUUAUAUCAGGGGCAAAGCAGAUGUACAGUCCUUAGUUCAUCCUAGCUUGAUUGCCUUGUGUUCGGUGGCCAGAAGCUUGUUUUCAUGCCUUGAGCACAUUA
This 147-nucleotide small nucleolar RNA is filed under the name Myotis lucifugus (little brown bat). RNAcentral describes it as "Small nucleolar RNA SNORA48". It matches the Rfam family "Small nucleolar RNA SNORA48". From Rfam's summary of the family: The snoRNA ACA 48 has been identified to guide pseudouridylation of the residue U3797 in the 28S rRNA subunit. Its host gene EIF4A1 (eukaryotic translation initiation factor 4A1) is shared with U67 and snoRNA mgU6-77 Lineage: Eukaryota; Metazoa; Chordata; Mammalia; Chiroptera; Vespertilionidae. The record is from Rfam by way of RNAcentral.